AUUGGACCUGAUAUUCAACGG
This 21-nucleotide ribosomal RNA is filed under the name Phytopythium oedochilum. RNAcentral's name for it is "partial 28S ribosomal RNA". The record is from RNAcentral. Lineage: Eukaryota; Oomycota; Peronosporomycetes; Pythiales; Pythiaceae.